UAGCGUAUAUUAAAGUUGUUGCGGUUAAAAAGCUCGUAGUUGGAUUUCUGUGGUAGGCAGCCGGUCCACACUAUGUGUGAGUAUCUGGUUCGGCUACUGCAUCCUCCUGAGGAACGUUGGUGCGCUUCACUGCGUGGCACGGUAUUCAGGACUUUUACUUUGAGGAAAUUAGAGUGUUCACGGCAGGCGUUUGCCCUGAAUAUAUUAGCAUGGAAUAAUGAUAUAGGAUCCACGUCCUAUUUUGUUGGUUUCUAGGACGAGGAUAAUGAUUAAUAGGGAUAAUUGGGGGCAUUCGUAUUAGGAUGUC
Molecule: ribosomal RNA, 307 nt
Filed under: Amoebophrya sp.
Lineage: Eukaryota; Dinophyceae; Syndiniales; Amoebophryaceae
Description: SSU rRNA
Rfam family: Eukaryotic small subunit ribosomal RNA
Source: RNAcentral